GCGGAUGUAGCUCAGUUGGUUAGAGCGCCGGCCUGUCACGCCGGAGGUCGCGGGUUCGAGUCCCGUCAUUCGCGCCA
RNAcentral lists this transfer RNA (77 nucleotides) under Caulobacter sp. RNAcentral's name for it is "tRNA-Asp". It matches the Rfam family "tRNA". From Rfam's summary of the family: Transfer RNA (tRNA) molecules are approximately 80 nucleotides in length. The record is from RNAcentral. Lineage: Bacteria; Pseudomonadati; Pseudomonadota; Alphaproteobacteria; Caulobacterales; Caulobacteraceae. RNAcentral also lists the same sequence under 49 other names.